RNAcentral lists this unclassified non-coding RNA (332 nucleotides) under Hevea brasiliensis (rubber tree). The record is from RNAcentral. Lineage: Eukaryota; Viridiplantae; Streptophyta; Magnoliopsida; Malpighiales; Euphorbiaceae.
UUCUGAGACCAAAUUUCCCUCGAGAAAAUAUUGCAUUACAUGCAUGUAAACAUAUAUAUUUUGAACAUGCAAAAAAGUAGCGAAGAUCAAAGACCAAACAACAAUAGAAGGCUAGCUGAUAAGAUUACUCUAGACCCCAACAACGUUUGAAUAAAAUUUUUGAUGUUGUACAUCAAAACCAACAGAAAUUUUAUCGGUAGAUCUGCUGAUGCUGUGCCUUCAUUUUAUUUUUAUUUUGGCAUCUGCAAUAUAUAGAUCCAUCACGAAUCGAUAAUCCAUUAACAUAAGGGCCUCACAGCGUAUCAGUGCCUUUAUCACUAUCAAGAAUAAUC